Molecule: transfer RNA, 84 nt
Filed under: Myxococcales bacterium
Lineage: Bacteria; Pseudomonadati; Myxococcota; Myxococcia; Myxococcales
Description: tRNA-Leu
Source: RNAcentral
GCAUGGGUGGUGUAAUUGGCAGCCACGCAGCCCCGAGAUGGCUGUGCCCGCGAGGGCGUGAGGGUUCGACCCCCUCCCCGUGCA